RNAcentral lists this ribosomal RNA (692 nucleotides) under Clostridium sporogenes. RNAcentral describes it as "bacterial SSU rRNA". It matches the Rfam family "Bacterial small subunit ribosomal RNA", at positions 40 to 749 of the family's 1533-position model. Lineage: Bacteria; Bacillati; Bacillota; Clostridia; Eubacteriales; Clostridiaceae. The record is from RNAcentral.
CGGCGUGCUUAACACAUGCAAGUCGAGCGAUGAAGCUUCCUUCGGGAAGUGGAUUAGCGGCGGACGGGUGAGUAACACGUGGGCAACCUGCCUCAAAGUGGGGGAUAGCCCUCCGAAAGGAGGAUUAAUACCGCAUAACAUGAGAGGAUCGCAUGAUUCUUUCAUCAAAGAUUUAUUGCUUUGAGAUGGGCCCGCGGCGCAUUAGCUAGUUGGUGAGGUAACGGCUCACCAAGGCAACGAUGCGUAGCCGACCUGAGAGGGUGAUCGGCCACAUUGGAACUGAGAUACGGUCCAGACUCCUACGGGAGGCAGCAGUGGGGAAUAUUGCGCAAUGGGGGAAACCCUGACGCAGCAACGCCGCGUGAGUGAUGAAGGUCUUCGGAUUGUAAAGCUCUGUUUUCUGGGACGAUAAUGACGGUACCAGAGGAGGAAGCCACGGCUAACUACGUGCCAGCAGCCGCGGUAAUACGUAGGUGGCGAGCGUUGUCCGGAUUUACUGGGCGUAAAGAGUGCGUAGGCGGAUGCUUAAGUGAGAUGUGAAAUACCCGGGCUUAACUUGGGGGCUGCAUUUCAAACUGGGCAUCUAGAGUACAGGAGAGGAAAGCGGAAUUCCUAGUGUAGCGGUGAAAUGCGUAGAUAUUAGGAAGAACACCAGUGGCGAAGGCGGCUUUCUGGACUGUAACUGACUCUGA